RNAcentral lists this ribosomal RNA (255 nucleotides) under uncultured bacterium. RNAcentral's name for it is "partial 16S ribosomal RNA". It matches the Rfam family "Bacterial small subunit ribosomal RNA", at positions 524 to 775 of the family's 1533-position model. The record is from RNAcentral.
UACGUAGGGUGCAAGCGUUGUCCGGAAUUAUUGGGCGUAAAGAGCUCGUAGGCGGUCUGUCGCGUCUGCUGUGAAAACUCAGGGCUUAACCCUGAGCUUGCAGUGGGUACGGGCAGACUAGAGUGCGGUAGGGGAGACUGGAAUUCCUGGUGUAGCGGUGAAAUGCGCAGAUAUCAGGAGGAACACCGGUGGCGAAGGCGGGUCUCUGGGCCGUAACUGACGCUGGAGGAAGCGAAAAGCAUGGGGAGCGACAGG